RNAcentral lists this ribosomal RNA (253 nucleotides) under uncultured bacterium. Its description in RNAcentral is "partial 16S ribosomal RNA". It matches the Rfam family "Bacterial small subunit ribosomal RNA", at positions 524 to 776 of the family's 1533-position model. The record is from RNAcentral.
UACAGAGGGUGCGAGCGUUAAUCGGAAUUACUGGGCGUAAAGCGCGCGUAGGCGGCUUUGCAAGCCGGGUGUGAAAUCCCCAGGCUUAACCUGGGAACUGCAUUCGAGACUGCAUUGCUAGAGUAUGGGAGAGGGAAGUGGAAUUUCAGGUGUAGCGGUGAAAUGCGUAGAUAUCUGAAGGAACAUCAGUGGCGAAAGCGACUUCCUGGACCAAUACUGACGCUCAUGUGCGAAAGCGUGGGGAGCAAACAGG